Molecule: long non-coding RNA, 1302 nt
Organism: Mugil cephalus (flathead mullet)
Lineage: Eukaryota; Metazoa; Chordata; Actinopteri; Mugiliformes; Mugilidae
Exons: 3
Source: RefSeq, a predicted model, not a curated record
CCCACCGCGGAGAGGAACACUGAUAAUAAAUAAACGGUGAAUUAGGAAAAGAGUUUAAAUUUAGGCGAAGUCACUUUUUUGUGUCGCUUUUAUUAGUUUAUAUUUUAGACAGCGCUGUCUUCGGUUAAUAACCGAAUCAAGACAUAUUAUUUAAACACUAGUGGGUAGCGAAGCGAUGCACAAAUGAAAAAAAAAAUGUUUCUGAAAAAAUAUAUAUAUACGACUGGAUCUCAUUUACUUUUUUUUUUUUUUAAAAAAAAAACUAAAACUAGCGAUUUUUACGUAGUGUACCUGAACACAUCCACAAAUAUCUGUUGCUUAAUAAAAAAGAUAGAACUACGUUAGAAAAAAAAAGUUCUAGACGAUCGACAAAUAAAAUAUUAACAUAAGAUUUGGUCGGUUUUUACGCAGACGCCUCAGUAAGAAAAAUGUCAUAAAGAGGAGACGAGAAUAGGAGUAGCUAGGAAUUAAUCUUUGGGAGCAAGAGAAGUCUCUCCGUGUGAAGGCUGCACCGUCCUCUCAAAUUCCUGCGCGUCGCAAAAAAAAGGGGGGAUUUAGAGCGACUUAUUUUCUUAAACUGUCCUCCCAUCCACAGAGGCAGCCAGUCUGCUGCCACCCAGCCCCGUAAAGGCCUGCACAUAAAAAAAAGUCACCUAGAAUAUUUACAGGUGGGUUCCCACCGGGAAGACACUGAGCAGCCAAGGGACUCAUGCGCACCUGCGGAGUGCAUCCAGCCAGAGAUGAGAACAAAUGAAAGAAAGAAAAAAUAUAUAUAUAAAAAAAGAAGAAGAAGAAAGCCGAUUUCUCUUAGUAGGCGUCAAGCUUUAAUUUCACUUGAAACGGUUUCUGCGAGAAGAAGAGGAAGAAGAUAAAGGACUUCUGUGUGAAGAUUUCGAUCAGGAGAAGAGGCUGAGUGGAUCAUUAUUUCUUCUAAGAGCUCGGCUGAGACCUGAUGUCAGCACAGGGGAAGUUUUCGUGGAGGGAAGGAGCUGCAACGCAUCCAGGAGUUCGCCAGCAAACAAACGGAUGCAAUUAAACGCGCUCGUCUUCAGAUCAUCUGCGAGGGGGGCAAAGUCGAGGCUAGCGGAAAGCUGACGAGGACAAAUGAAGGCCGGAGAAGACUGGGCUGCCUCAAGGUUAACACUGACUGAGUGGAGAGCUCGUCUUCAGACAGUCUGGAUAAAACGUCGCUCACUGCUUUUCACCCAAAUCUUAGUUGGAUGCUUUAAGUUUAUGUCACUGCUGAGAAAUUAAAUUUAUUGUCUGUAAUUAAAUUGGAAAUAAAUGCAUCUUUCUGUUCUA